RNAcentral lists this ribosomal RNA (550 nucleotides) under uncultured Glomeromycotina. Its description in RNAcentral is "SSU rRNA". It matches the Rfam family "Eukaryotic small subunit ribosomal RNA", at positions 548 to 1098 of the family's 1831-position model. Lineage: Eukaryota; Fungi; Glomeromycota. The record is from RNAcentral.
UUGGAGGGCAAGUCUGGUGCCAGCAGCCGCGGUAAUUCCAGCUCCAAUAGCGUAUAUUAAAGUUGUUGCAGUUAAAAAGCUCGUAGUUGAACUUCGGGGUCUACCCAUUGGUCAGGCUUAAUUGUCUGUACUGGUGAGAUGGAUCUCUACCUUCUGAGGAACUUUCAUGCCAUUUAUUUGGUGUGAUGGGAAAUCAGGACUGUUACUUUGAAAAAAUAGAGUGUUUAAAGCAGACUAUCGUCUGAAUACAUUAGCAUGGAAUAAUGAAAUAGGACGGACUGAUUCUAUUUCGUUGGUUUCUAGGAUCACCGUAAUGAUUAAUAGGGAUAGUUGGGGGCAUUAGUAUUCAAUUGUCAGAGGUGAAAUUCUUGGAUUUAUUGAAGACUAACUACUGCGAAAGCAUUUGCCAAGGAUGUUUUCAUUAAUCAAGAACGAAAGUUAGGGGAUCGAAGACGAUCAGAUACCGUCGUAGUCUUAACCAUAAACUAUGCCGACUAGGGAUCGGACGAAGUUAAUUUUAUAAUGACGCGUUCGGCGCCUUACGGGAAAC